This 616-nucleotide ribosomal RNA is filed under the name Escherichia coli. RNAcentral describes it as "partial 23S ribosomal RNA". It matches the Rfam family "Bacterial large subunit ribosomal RNA", at positions 2212 to 2825 of the family's 2925-position model. Lineage: Bacteria; Pseudomonadati; Pseudomonadota; Gammaproteobacteria; Enterobacterales; Enterobacteriaceae. The record is from RNAcentral.
GUUUGAUGUUCUAACGUGGACCCGUAAUCCGGGUUGCGGACAGUGUCUGGUGGGUAGUUUGACUGGGGCGGUCUCCUCCUAAAGAGUAACGGAGGAGCACGAAGGUUGGCUAAUCCUGGUCGGACAUCAGGAGGUUAGUGCAAUGGCAUAAGCCAGCUUGACUGCGAGCGUGACGGCGCGAGCAGGUGCGAAAGCAGGUCAUAGUGAUCCGGUGGUUCUGAAUGGAAGGGCCAUCGCUCAACGGAUAAAAGGUACUCCGGGGAUAACAGGCUGAUACCGCCCAAGAGUUCAUAUCGACGGCGGUGUUUGGCACCUCGAUGUCGGCUCAUCACAUCCUGGGGCUGAAGUAGGUCCCAAGGGUAUGGCUGUUCGCCAUUUAAAGUGGUACGCGAGCUGGGUUUAGAACGUCGUGAGACAGUUCGGUCCCUAUCUGCCGUGGGCGCUGGAGAACUGAGGGGGGCUGCUCCUAGUACGAGAGGACCGGAGUGGACGCAUCACUGGUGUUCGGGUUGUCAUGCCAAUGGCACUGCCCGGUAGCUAAAUGCGGAAGAGAUAAGUGCUGAAAGCAUCUAAGCACGAAACUUGCCCCGAGAUGAGUUCUCCCUGACUCCUUGAG